CAGUCACGGGCUGGUGGCUGCUGGUGGGGAGGGAGUUUAGAAGGGUGUUAAUCACAAAGGGAAUACACAAGACAGGGGAAGCUGGUAAUUGAGGGCGCUGGUGAAGAGAAAGCUGGGAGCCCAGUGAUUCAGGCCCACUAGACCUGCUGCCCUCAUGCUGUCCUGGGACCAGGGACAGCAGGCAAUGAGUGAAGGAAGGGCAGGGAGAGAGGAGCCAUGAUGGGCCUGGGGAGAGGCCUGUGGUAGGAGCCUCUGUCUCCCAGCUGUUGGAGGAACUGGCGUUGAGUCCAGGAAUCUGGAGAGACCCACCCACCAGGGAGAGCAUGAUGUGGAGGCGUUCUCCUAACAUGAAGGACAGUGCGAGCCAAUCAGCCAGUCUUGCAGCUGUUUCCAGGGUCACCUUGCUCUUGGCCCUUCUGUCCUGUGUGACCCUCGACAGAACCUCCCAAUGGGUUCACAGAUUUGCUUCUUCAAUGCCCCUACCAACCUCAUUUUCUCUGUGCCUCAGUUUCCUCAUCUGUAUAAUGGCCACAUAAUGGUAUCUCCUUCAUAUGGAGGAUAAAUACCUUUAAAAUGCCCAGAGCAGGGGCUGGAGAGAUGGCUCAGUGGUUAAGAGCACCGAAUACUCUUCCUGAGGUCCUGAGUUCAAAUCCCAGCAACCACAUGUUGGCUCACAACCAUCUGUAAUGAGAUCUAUGCCCUCUUCUGCUGUGUCUGGACAGCUACAGUGUACUCAGAUAUAAUAAAUAAAUAAAGUAUUUUUAAAAAAA
Molecule: long non-coding RNA, 770 nt
Organism: Rattus norvegicus (Norway rat)
Lineage: Eukaryota; Metazoa; Chordata; Mammalia; Rodentia; Muridae
Source: RefSeq, a predicted model, not a curated record